RNAcentral lists this ribosomal RNA (253 nucleotides) under uncultured bacterium. Its description in RNAcentral is "partial 16S ribosomal RNA". It matches the Rfam family "Bacterial small subunit ribosomal RNA", at positions 524 to 776 of the family's 1533-position model. The record is from RNAcentral.
UACGGGGGGGGCAAGCGUUGUUCGGAAUUACUGGGCGUAAAGGGCCCGUAGGCGGCCAACUAAGUCCGACGUGAAAUCCCAAGGCUUAACCUUGGAACUGCGUCGGAUACUGGAUGGCUUGAAUUCGGGAGAGGGAUGCAGAAUUCCUGGUGUAGCGGUGAAAUGCGCAGAUAUCAGGAAGAACACCCGUGGCGAAGGCGGCUCUCUGGGACGGUACUGACGCUGAGACGCGAAAGCGUGGGGAGCGAACAGG